Molecule: RNA transcript, 6111 nt
Organism: Dreissena polymorpha
Lineage: Eukaryota; Metazoa; Mollusca; Bivalvia; Myida; Dreissenidae
Gene name: NAB transcription cofactor mab-10-like
Exons: 12
Source: RefSeq, a predicted model, not a curated record
UGCCCAAUCAACACUGGGGCAUCCCCCAUGGUCGACCAAGUGACGUCAGCGGAUACACUCCUAAUAUGGAUUUCCUCACCCCUCCCAUUUUUAUCUGCCGGGGACGGGCGACAUUUUAAGGAUCUAAUGUGCUUAAAAAUUGACGUUUACGGGAGUUGAAGAGAAGUAUUGGUAAUGAGCGCAGCUUCGCCAAGCAACCCUUCAGAAUGGCAGCUCUACAGGGUUCUACAGCGUGCUAACCUGGUGCAGUACUAUGACACAUUUGUAGCCCAGGGUGGAGAUGAUGUACACCAGCUGUGUGAGGCCGGGGAAGAGGAAUUCCUUGAGAUUAUGGCCCUGGUGGGAAUGGCAAGCAAGCCCCUCCACGUGCGCAGGCUACAGAAGGCCCUGCAGGAAUGGGUCGCCAACCCAGCAUCAUUUGACGGCACUGGUCAGCUGCGGCCAACCCCCACCCAGGUGUCUUCACUGACCACGGACGUUUCCCCGGCAGCCACGUCUCCGUGGAGCACCCCACAGAAGAGUGUCAGUCCAGUGAUGAUGCCCUUGACUCAGUCCCUGGAAUCUGACAUGUUCACGACAUCUGACAUCAAGAUAAAGCAGGAGGCAGGGGCUGUUUCCCCAGGUCUGACGGAGGCACAGGUCGCUGCACUUGCUAACAGCGCCACCAGACUCGCCAAAAUAUUGCCGCACUUUGAGCCGAAGCAUCUCAGUCAGAAAAAAGAGAUCAAUAAACACAUUCAGGAGAUAAUGAUGACUCCACCUGAGGUCUCUGAAGACAGACUGCAUAUCAUGCGUACAUAUGCAGCCAUUUACAGGAGAUUUGACACAGAGAGGGUCUACACCAAGCCCAUGUCCAUGCAUGAGAUCUGCGUGAAUGAGGCUGCAGCCCAGCUCUGCCUGCACAUUCCCAACCUGCUGUCACGCAGAGAGGACCUCUUCCCAUUGGCCAGACAGGUUGUCAAGGAGAGUGGCUACCAGUACUCCAAGGGACACUCCAGAUCCAGUGAUUUCAACCCUGAGAAUCCCAGUAAGAAGCAGAAGCUGGACCAGUGGGUCUCAGAUUCCCGCAGUGACAGUCCACAGACAACAGCAUCCGGUGCUCGAGAACUCUUUCAGGAGAGAUUGACUCAAAUCAGCAAAUUGCUUGCGAAAAUCUCACAAAGACAGGAGCAGAUUGUGAAUGACCUUGACCUUGCUAAGGAAGGUCAGGACCUUGAAAAGGUUGACACAUUACAGUCAGAGUUGGAAUUGGUCACCAACCAGCACCUGCAGUUACUGACUGAACAGAGUGAACUGCUUCGAAAGCAAAGUUUAGAGGUUUACAAUGAGUUGGAAAUGUCAGAUAGGGAAGAUUCCAACAUGGGAGCCAGUGGAUCAUCCUCCCCGACCCAGUUCGACAACGGCCUCAGCACAUCCAGCCACGCAUUGCUGAAAAACAUUCUCAGUUCGGCACAGAUACCAAAAUCAUCGCUCACAAGUCUUUCCUUACUGGCUGGAUGCAGCUUGACUCCGUCGGGCUUAAAGAACUCUUUGUUCGACGAGGGCUUGAGAAUUGCCCAGCAAUAUGGACUUGGGGAUUUUGCUCAGGAACUGAAAUCCCUUCAAGGGGGUUCGGAUGUUGAGGACCAGAAAUCGCCCAUGCCUGGGGACAACAGUCCGGGCCAGAAUGGCUCAAAUGGUACUUAUGAGGAGGGGGAUGAAAGUUCAAGGGAUCACCAUGGUAAUGGUGAGGAUGAGGACGCAGAGAACGCUGAUAAUGGAUCUCUUUAGGGCUGUCAUGCUUAGUACUAGUUAUAUGCAUGUUUAACAUGACUAAUUUUAAUUUCUGUGUGAGGAAUUUGUUUUCAGUCAAAAUAACAUUCCUUUUACUUAUUUGUUAUUUUAUCACUUUUGCAUUCAGUUUGCAAUGUAACACAGUCCGAGAAUUGUUGCAUAUCUGGUUUAUUAUGCCCCCCUUCGAAGAAGAGGGGGUAUAUUGCUUUGCUCAUGUCGGUCGGUCGGUCGGUAGGUCGGUCGGUCAGUCGGUCUGUCCACCAGGUGGUUGUCAGACGAUAACUCAAGAACGCUUGGGCCUAGGAUCAUAAAACUUCAUAGGUACAUUGAUCAUGACUUGCAGAUGACCCCUAUUGAUUUUGAGGUCACUAGGUCAAAGGUCAAGGUCACGGUGACCCGAAAUAGUAAAAUGGUUUCCGGAUGAUAACUCAAGAACGCUUAGGCCUAGGAUCAUGAAACUUGAUAGGUAGAUUGAUCAUGACUCGCAGAUGACCCCUAUUGAUUAUCAGGUCACUAGGUCAAAGGUCAAGGUCACAGUGACCCGAAAUAGUAAAAUGGUUUCCGGAUGAUAACUCAAGAACAAUUAUGCCUAGGAUGAUGAAACUUGGUAGGUAGAUUGAUAAUGGCUGGCAGAUGACCCCUAUUGAUUUUCAGGUCACUAGGUCAAAGGUCAAGGUCACGGUGACCCGAAAUAGUAAAAUGGUUUCCGGAUAAUAACUCAAGAACGCUUAUGUCUAGGAUCAUGAAACUUCAUAGGUAGAUUGAUCAUGAAUGGCAGAUGACCCCUAUCGAUUUUGAGGUCACUAGGUCGAAGGUCAAGGUCACGGUGACCCGAAAUAGUAAAAUGGUUUCCGGAUGAUAACUCAAGAACGCUUAUGCCUAGGAUCAUGAAACUUGAUUGGUAGAUUGAUCAUGACUCGCAGAUGACCCCUAUUGAUAUUCAGGUCACUAUAUCAAAGGUCAAGGUCAUGGUGACCUGAAAUAGUAAAAUGGUUUCUGGACGAUAACUCUAGAACGCUUAUGGCUACGAUCAUGAAACUUCAUAGGUACACUGAUCAUGACUUGCAGAUGACCCCUAUUGAUUUUGAGGUCACUAGGUCAAAGGUCAAGGUCAUGUUGAUCCAAAAUAGUAAAAUGGUUUCUGGAUGAUAACUCAAGAACGCUUAGGCCUAGGAUCAUGAAACUUGAUAGGUAGAUUGAUCAUGACUCGCAGAUGACCCCUAUUGAUUAUCAGGUCACUAGGUCAAAGGUCAAGGUCACAGUGACCCGAAAUAGUAAAAUGGUUUCCGGAUGAUAACUCAAGAACGAUUAUGCCUAGGAUAAUGAAACUUGGUAGGUAGAUUGAUAAUGGCUGGCAGAUGACCCCUAUUGAUUUUCAGGUCACUACGUCAAAGUUCAAGGUCACAGUGACAAAAAACAUAUUCACACAAUGGCUGUCACUACAACGAAGAGCCCAUAUGGGGGGCAUGCCUGUUUUAUUUCAAUUAAAAAUGUUUUGUUAAUUGUAAACUUCUUUCAUGUUUUUUUUUCGUACAGAAGACAACCAUAAUUUAAAUAUGUCAAUUUUUAGCUCGGCUGAUUUCGGAGAAAACACGUGGUAUUGUCAUAACCAGUUCGUCCGUCCGGCGGAGGCCGUCCACCGUGCUUAAACCUUAACCUUGGCUCUAAAAUCAAAGUGCUUCCACCUACAACUUUGAAACUUCAUAUGUAGAUGUACCUUGAUGAGUUCUACACGCCGUACCCAUUUUUGGGUCACUAGGUCAAAGGUCAAGGUCACUGUGACCUCUAAAAAAAAUAAUCUGACAUGCUUUCAUUUAUUCAAAACUUCACCCGCAGCCAAGUGUUGGCACCCGUUAUGCGUUGCUCUUGUUGUUUCUAAUCAUUCUACAAAACUACUCAUCCAUUUUAAAAACAGACACAACUUUGCUACAAAGUUGUCUUAAAAUGAGGUGUACAAUUAAUUAUUGUUUUCAUGAAGAGGAGCAACUGCCUUAAGUUGUUAUUUAUCGUAUUCUUUACACCAACGGACAGUGUUGUGUUAACUGUGUAGUUUAUGGGAGAUAUUAAUACUUCUACUAGCAAAACAUGUGCAAAUUAAUUUCAAGUAGUGCUCAUUACAUAACAAAUGUUUACUUAGCAUGCAGUUAUUUUUCAUUGGAAAUUUAUCUUUUCAGAUUCAACAACAAGUAGGUCAAUAUUUAUUCCCCAAAUUAUCAGCAGUCAUUAACCUUUGAAACAGAUGUCUGCUUGAGAUUUUGUUUAUUGGUUGUACAAUUUACGGCAUCCGAUUGUGUACACACCAAGGAGAUAUUGAUUUCAGUUGAGUUGCUUCACUUAUAUCUUUUCAAUUUAAAACAGCUUUGCACAGUAACCUUGUACAUGAAUCCAGGUCAGUGUUGUUUUUUUUGUUUAAUUUGGGUUCUACAGGGGGAACCAUUCCCAACGCAAAAUAAACACAAUAUAUUUUAAAUAAGUGUAAACAUGUCAUUUAGCUCAAAAUCCAGUUCUAUAUGUUGAACCUUGGAAAAUGUAAUAUUUAAAUCACUUUAAUUAUCAAUUUUAAAGUAUUUGUUUAUAAUAAAAUCAACAACAAUAAUCUCCCAAUUAUUGUCAAAAGGACGCGAUAUUUCCCAAUCUAAAAGGACCCAGCCCAUUUCCCAAAAUGGUGAAAAAAGUCACCUGGUAAUUUUCUUUGCCGUUUGUGGGGGUUUGUUUUAACCCUUUGCAUGCUGGGAAAUUUGUCCCGUGCUAAAAUGUUGUCUGCUGAAUUUCUUAAAUUAGCAUUUUCUUCGAUUUUUUUCAAAGAAUACUAUCAGAAUAGCAAACAGUUUGGAUCCUGAUGAGAAGCCACGUUCUGUGACGUCUCAUCUGGAUCCAAACUGUUUGCCAAGGCCUUCAAAAUUCAGUCUCAGCACUGAAAGAGUUAAUGGAAUUCUGUACAUUGCACACAUUUUGGUUCAACAAUGCUUCUUCUCUAUUCCAGUCACCAUAAAACAUUAAAAAAUUUUUUUUUGCAUUUUUAUACAUUCAAAAUUCAUGGGACAACGCUGAACAAUCCUGUCUGGCACAAUUAUUAUGAUUGACUUUGGUAGUUAUGAAAUGGCCGUGAGGGCCACCUUUGCGACACCAGUUCAAUCCCCACUUGGGCAUUGUUCUCUGGAUCUUUCCAAAGACAUAAAGUAAUGGUUCUACCCAGAGAUCUGACUUAAGAGUGUUUCUAUAAGCCAAUGGCUAUUGAGACAACCAAGAUUGAAAUAAACAGGCUUGAACUGAACUGGUUAUUCUAAAACGUAGAACAGGGCUGCCUCUCAGUUGGCCAAAGGUAGAAUUUGAAGAAAAUAAGGUGCGUUCUGGAAAAAAUGACUUCAUAUAAUUAUGUGUGUUAAGUGUUGUCCUAGAUUAGCCUGUGCAGAACACCCAGGGUAAUACCUCACAGAUUAGCCUGUGCAGAUCUCCCAUUGUAGUUACUCACAGAUAAGCCUGUGCAGAACUCCCAGGCUAGUACCUCACAUAUAAUCAUGUGCAGAACUCCCAGGGUAGUAUUUCACAUAUUAGCUAGCCUGUGCAGAACUUCCAGGGUAGUACCUCACAGAUUAGCCUGUGCAGAACUCCCAGGCUAGUACCUUACAUAUAAUCAUGUGCAGAACUCCCAGGGUAGUAACUCACAGAUUAACUAGCCUGUGCAGAACUUCCAGAGUAGUACCUCACAGAUUAGCCUGUUCAGAACUCCCAGGGUAGUACCACACAGAUAAGCCUGUGCAGAUCUCCCAUUGAAGUAACUCACAGAUUAGCUUGUGCAGAACUUCCAGGGUAGUUACAUAUAAGUCUGUGCAGAACUCCCAGUUUAUUACCUCACAGAUUAGCCUGUGCAGAACUACCAGGGUAUUACAUAACAUUAGCCUGUGCAGAACUCCUGGGGUAGUACCACACAGAUAAGCAUGUGCAGAACUCACAGGGUAGUACCUCACAUGUUAGCCUGUGCAGAACUCCCAAGGAAGUACCUCACAUAUUAGCCUGUGCAGAACUCACAGGCUAUUACUUCACAGAUAAGCCUGUGCAGAACUCCCAGGGAAGUACCUCACAUAUUUUAGCCUGUGCAGAACUCCCAGGCUAUUACCUCACAGAUAAGCCUGUGCAGAACUCCCAGGGUAGUACAUCACAUAUUAGCCUGUGCAGAUCUCCCAUUGUAGUUACUCACAGAUAAGCCUGUGCAGAACUCCCAGGCUAUUACCUCACAUAUAGCAUGUGCAGAACUCCCAGGGUAGUAUUUCACAUAUAAGCAUGUGCAGAACUCUCAGGGUAGUACCUCACAGAUUAGCAUGUGCAGAACUCACAGGG